Molecule: long non-coding RNA, 7303 nt
Organism: Mirounga angustirostris (Northern elephant seal)
Lineage: Eukaryota; Metazoa; Chordata; Mammalia; Carnivora; Phocidae
Exons: 5
Source: RefSeq, a predicted model, not a curated record
UCACGGCGCGCCGGGCGCGGGCGGCCGCGCCACGUGACCGCCGCCUCUUUUGUCUGCGUCGUGGCGGCCGGGUUCCGCCGCCGGGCCGUGUUGGCGGCCUGGGGGCCGGCUGCGGGGUGGGGGGGCGGCAGGUGGGCCCGGGCCGUUCCUGACGGGCUCAGGCCGAGGCCUGCGCGGUACGAGGGUGCCGUGGGUCUUUCAGAGCGCCGCAGGUACGCGGGAUCAGUUACUGAGACGUGGUCCUGGGAUGGCGUUUAAGCGACCUCGCACGGUGAGGGCGCCUGGGGGCUCGGCAGCUUAAGCCCCGGACUCGGCCGCGGCGCGGGUCUCGGUCUCUGGCCCCGCCCUGGGCUCCGGCCGAGGUCCUGGGGUGAACGUCCCCUUAAGCGGCCGCCUCACCGUCAGGCCCGAGAACUGAAGUCCCGCGACUUCCGUGAAGGGUACGGGGUCGUUCUCUGCCCCCCCCGAAGUUAUUUCCGCCCUGAUUUGUGUCUACACCGCUCUUACAUGGCUUGAACUUUUCACACUUACGUCAUUAGGCAGUACGGUAGUUGCUGUUUUUUAAGCUCUGUCUAGCAUUCUGGGCUCACUUUCGCGAACAUGCUCGUUCGGGCUUUGACAAACCAGCACCGAUUCAGAAAGGACAGAAAUUUAUUUCUCACAGUUUGUUUUUUAAAGAUCUGUUUAUUUCAGGGCACGAGUAGGGGGAGGGGCAGAGGGGGCGAAUCUUGAAGCCAACUCCGACCUGAGCUCAGAGUCCCUAGUGGGGCUCAUCCCAAGGUCCUGAGAUCAGGACCGGAGCCGAAACCAAGGGUCCGGUGCUCAACCGAUGAGCCACCGGCGCCCCUCUUCCUCACAGUUCUGGAGGCUGGAAGCACGGAGCCGGCCUCUCCUCUCCCCGGUAGUAGACUUCUGGUGUGGCGGAGGCCUGGGGAUCUGCGUGGGGGCUCCGUCUUCGGCGCCCAGUCCCACCAUGAGUGCCAGCGCUUGCUAAUACUAGCUCACUGGGCGCUAGGGUUUCAACCUACGGACCUGGGGGACAUACGCGUUCAGACCUAAGAUCCAUCCUUGCAUUCCUUUCACGGUCGUGGCUACAUAAUAGCCCAUUACGUGACUGUAUUGUUGUUUGUCCACUCCAGCUGCUGAACAUCUAUGCAAUUUCCAGGUUUUUGCUGUUUCCAACAGUGCUGUUAUGAGCAUUGCCUUUUGGUGCUUCUGUACAAACAUUUCUCUCGGGCGUGUUUAUCUUGGAGUAGAAUUGAUGGGUCUUGGGUGCGUCAGCGUUUACCUUUUUAUGAUAGUAUCCUAUCUUUUUUUUUUUUUUUAAAGAUUUAUUUAUUUGAGAGACAGAAUGAGAGAGCACAUGAGAGGGCGGAGGGUCAGAGGGAGAAGCAGACUCCCCCUGAGCAGGGAGCCCGACGCGGGACUCGACCCCGGGACUCCGGGAUCAUGACCUGAGCCGAAGGCAGUCGCCCAAACGACUGAGCCACCCAGGCGCCCGAUAGUAUCCUAUCUUUAUUCAAAGAGGUUACGCCAGCUUACACUUCUACCAGCAUCCAUAUCUUCCCUAAUGCUUCAGACUUCUUGAUUUGGGGCAAUGAAAUGGGAGCUAAAUGGUGUCUCAUCCCAACCUUAUUGGCCUAUCCCUGAGGUUCGGCGACUCGUGUAUUUAUUGGCCACGUGUAUAGUUCCUUUACUGUGAAAUGUCAGUGUCGGGCUGGAGGGAUUUCAGGGCAGAUGAAGGAAAAAGAUACGACCACGAGGUGGCAGUAACACACACACAGGUUUUCUCCGGCCUGGCUUUGACAGAUUUGUGUGUGGGAAGUCCCUCACCUAAGUGGACAAUCCAGAGACUCUGGGACAUGUAGAAGGAGUGGAGGGCAAGGAAAUUCCCAGAUGGUUACGUGACCUUGCUCUGCAGCCCAGCAGGAAGUCUCUGGGUCAGAAAGCUCCAAAGGGCAGCAGCAGUUUGUGGUCUUUAUAACCACGUGGUUUAUCUUAUCUAUGACUAGCAGGUGUUGGACACAGUUUCAUGAAGUAUGCAAAACAGGCAGGGCGCUCUUAAAUGGCUAAAAGUCUGCUUAUUGGGGCUGUGUUUAAAACAACUGGAUGUGUAAAAAUUUGAGUUUGGUACUUACUGGCAGGUGUUGAGCUUAUAUAGGUCCCAAUCUGCUGCAUAGAAAUAAACAACCUAGGGUCCAAUAUACAGGGGCCAUCCUUGGCUCACCUUUAUAAUAGCCAGUUCAUGUCUUUUGCUCAUUUUUUUUUUUUAGAGGAUUUAGUUAUGUGUUGCAAGUUUCUUCUCUCAUAUGUGGCUUGUCUUUUCACUUCCUAUUUUUUUUUUAAGAUUUUAUUUAUUUAUUUGACAGAGAGAGAGGGGGGGAACACAAGCAGGGGGAACAGCAAAGGGAGAGGGAGAAGCAGGCCUCCCGCAGAGCAAGGAGCCCGAUGCGGGGCUCGAUCCUAGGACCCCGGGAUCAUGACCUGAGCCGAAGGCAGACGCUUAACCGACUGAGCCACCCAGGCGCCCCAUUCACUUCCUAUUUUAAUAAAUACAUGUUCUUAACUUCAAAUUUAUAAAUAUUCUGUUUUUUUCCCCAUCCUAAUAUAUAUUAACUUACUCUUCUAAAAAAUUUAGUUUUGCUUUUGACAUUUGAAUUCUUAUGCUCUCUGGAAUUUAGUUUAUGGUUUUACUUUUUACAUACAAAUGACUCCCCCCUCACCCAGGUUUGUUUUUUUGACUAGCCCCGCUUUUCCCAACUGAUUGUCCUGCCAACUUGGUCAUAUAUUAACAUUCCAUUUAUGUAUGGCUGUAUUUCUAAACUGCCUAUUCUGUUCUACUGGACAGUUUGUGUAUCUUAGUGUCCACACCACAGUUUAAUUACCAUAGUUAUAUAAAAAGUCUUGAUUAUUUAGUAGAGGAAAAUCUUCCUUAUUUUUCUUCUUCAUCUUCUAUCUGGGUUAUUCUUGGUCCUUUGUUUUUCCAUACAUAUUUUAGAACAAGCUUCUCAAGUUGCACAGACACACGGCACUAAAGCUGUUGGGAUUUUAAUUGGCAUUGCAUUGAAUAUACAGAUCAGUUUGGAUAGAAUUCACAUCUUUCUGAGUCUUCCAGUUUAUAAACAAGGGAUAGCUAUCUGCUUAUUAGGUCUUCACUAGUGUCUUUCCAGUAAAGGUUUACUGUUUUCUGUAUCCAGAUCUUGCACAUUUUGUGUUGGGUUUAUUCCUAGAUACUUUGUAGUUUGUGUUGCUAUUGUGAUAUCCUUUAAAUUUACACUUUGUAAUAGUUGGUUGCUAGAGUAGAAAUAGUUUUGUAAAUUGAUAUUUUAUCCAGCUGCCUUACUGGAUACAAUUUGUCAUUGAUUUUAAUAAUUUUUCUAUUCCUUCUAAACAUUUGUUUAUUGAUUCUUUUGGGUUUUCUAUAUAAACAAUCACUGUAUGAAAAUAAUGUCAGUUCCAGUCAUUUUGCUUUUUAUUUUUCUUAAAGUAUAAUACUGGUUUGGACCUCUAGUAUAAUGUCAAUAGAAAUGGUGAUAUCUUCUUGACAUUCUUGACUUGGGCACUUUACUUGAUCCUGAUUUUUGAAAAGGAAAUUUAGAAUUAUUUUGCAGGUUUUUUGGUAAAUAAAUUUAGAAUGUUUUUUUUUUUUUAAAGAUUUUAUUUAUUUAUUUGACAGAGAGAGACACAGCGAGAGAGGGAACACAAGCAGGGGGAGUGGGAGAGGGAGAAGCAGGCUUCCCGCGGAGCAGGGAGCCCAACUUGGGGCUUGAUCCCAGGACCCUGGGAUCAUGACCAGAGCUGAAGGCAGACACUUAACAACUGAGCCACCCAGGCACCCGUAUUUAUUGUAAUUCUUGAUAAAUUUAGUCUUCGAUUCUAUUUUACUUUUUGAUUUCUAUUUGUUCCAUGUAUUUUGUUUCUGGCUUUUUUUUCUUUCUUGCAUUCUUAUUUUUGGAUUAACUCAAUUCUUCUUCCUCUUCUUCUUCUUUUAAGAUUUACUUAUUUAUUUUAGAGAGAGAGAGAGAGCAUGGGGGUGAGCAGAGGGAGAGAGAGACUCUCAAGCAGGUUCCACGUUGAGCAUGGAGCCUGAUGUGGGACUCGAUCUCAUGACCCUGAGAUCAUGACCUGAGCUGAAUCAAGAGUCUGAUGCUUAACUGACUGAGCCAUCCAGACACACUUAACUGAGUUCUUUUGGAACCUUUUUUCCUACUCCAUGUUUUUCUUUCUUAAGAUUUGGAAUUAUGCUUCCUCUUUUCUUAGUGGCUAUUCUUGAAAGUUAUCAUGUAUUUUAAUUUAACAAGGUCUAAAGUUUAAACACAAAGUUGACACUUUCUUCUGGAUGGUACAAGAGCUCUAGAAUACUUAGCUCUUUGCUUACCCCUUUGACUAAUACAAAACUGUUGUCUAAUUUUUUGUUUCUGUCUUUUCUUUUUAACUGCACAAAUCAGUCGUUAUCAUAUGUUUGUUUGGUUUCAUAUACAGAGAAAGAAGUAGAGCCAAUAUGAGGAUGCGUUUGCAAACUAACUGCCACUUAGAGUAACUGGGAUAGCUCAGUCUAACGGGACCAUCCUCCAAGAAGCCAUGUAAAGUGUGUCUCAGGAAAGUCUGCCUGGGGGAAUAUUUUAAAGAUAUCUUCAAUCACUCAAUAAACUCUUGGGUAAGGAAGAGAGGAACUUUCCUACAGACUCCUGUUUUCCUUCUGUCAUGAGGGUUAACUCCCCCACCCUUCUGUGUUGUGCAUGUGUGUCCUUUGGCAUCUGACAAUUCAGCAUCAUUGGGGUGGCCCCAGGACAGAAGGAAAGGGGUAUCGUAGUGUUGGCAGGGAGGAGGAGGUCAGUGUGUCCCUGCAUGAACGUGGUUGGAGUUAUGCAGAGGUGGUCCCAGCAGGUGGCUGGAGCUGAGAUUAAGGGUUCUGGAGAAAGGUGAGGCCAAGAGACUGAAGUAGAGCACAUGAUGAAAACUAAAGAGAAUGUUCUCAAAAGGAGGAACAGCAUUUCAGAGGCACAGUUACGGGGGAAAGCACUAAUCCUUUAAGAGAUGCAGAAAUAACAAUUUCUCUCCAAAUGAGGAUUCCCUUUAUGUGAACUCUUGUAGAUGUGUUUUUACUUUUGUGAGCCUUUUCUGUCAUCUGAGGUUGGAUAUACAUGAGUUUGAACCCCUAGCGUUGGGAGUAAGUAGAAAUGUAGGAAGGAGGCUGCUGGGUGUGUGUGUGUGGGCACAGACAGUCUUGCUGUGGUAGUUUGGGAGAGACAAAACAAAGGCAAAGAAAAGCCUUUGAAAUGGCCUGUCUCAGCAGCCCUCCAGGAAUGUUACUAAAUAUGUUAGGACAUCUAAGAGAGCUGGAUCAGAGCGUUCCCCUAUUUUCUGAUGGGUUCUCAAAGUUAUUAUUGGCAGAAUUUUUCAUUUGAGAGAAAGUUUGAGAAAUACCUCUGGGUACUCUUAAGGGCUUCCUUUUUCAGACUCACUGAAGUAGGUAAGAGUAAAUAAAAAUCAUGCAAACAUUUUUCAAACCAGAUUGUAUCGGGUCAAGCAGAAUUAGAAAGGCUGGGUAAAGUAUUUCUAGAACGUCUGUCUGAAAGCAUGGAAAACUACCAAGACAGCAAAGCACGUGUGGGCCAAGACACUGCAGGAAAGGGAGUCCCAUGGAGGGAGACCAACACUUGGCCCCACUUGAGCUCUCUCCCAAUUCUAGAGUUGAAGCUAAAAGGAUGAGAAGAGCCUCUGGAAGUUUCUCAGGGGAGAUGAUACCCAGAGUUCAGGGCUCAUCAGUGAGAAGGGGUCCUGGUAAACAUUCCAGGCUUCCCGUUGGACCCCAGGAGUAACAAUGAACCAAAAUAGCCUCCUCUCACAAAGAUUGAAAUCCAGCUUAAGUCAACUCAAUCAGGUCUUUUGUCCCUGCCCUAAUUCCUCCUAUAAACAAGAGUAAAUCCUCUCUGGGUGAACAGAGUCCAGUACUUCAAAUGAUCUCUAUCCUUUUUGUCCAUUAGGUUUAGCACUUAAUGAAAAAUAGACAUAUAAAACAGGUGAGACUUUACCAAAACCUUGGAGACAAGUUGCAUAAAUAAAGAGCCCUCCAGGGGAUGUAGAUAGUAGAGUUAUCACACCCAGACUUUAAGAUAACUAAUUCGUGUGUUCCGGAAAUUAAAUUAUAAGAUGGACAAUUUCAGGAGAGAACUGGAGACUAUAAAAAAAAGAACCAAAUGGAAACUCUAGAACUGAACAAUGUCAUGACAGACACUAAUAAUAGAUGGGUUUAACUGUUGAUUAGCAUGUACAAAAUAAAAGAAAGCAAAUAUAGUAACACUAAUAUUACAUAAAGGAGAUUUUAGUGUCAAGAGCAAGAUAGAAGGAAAUGAAGAGGAAUGUUUCUUUUUUUUUAAGAUUUUAUUUAUUUACUUGAGAGAGAGCACAAGCAGGGGGAGCUGCAGAGGCAGAGGGAGAAGCCGACUCCCAGCUGAGCAGGGAGCCCGACGUGGGGCUUGAUCCUGGGACCCCAAGAUCAUGACCUGAGCUGAAGGCAGACGCUUAACGACUGAGCCACCCAGGAGCCCCUGAAGAGGAAUAUUUAAUAAUGAUAAUGAGCCCAAGAAUGUAGGAUGCUACCCAGCGGAAGUGUGACCUCUUUACAGUUCCAUCCGCUUAGAAAGGAUCACCCCCAAACUCGGCAGUUGUAUGUGGCUUUGGGGGGCAGCUGGAGGUCCCUGCUCAGGGAACGCUAUCAACCAACGGUGCCAGAUACAGAAAUGAAGACCAGAGUUUUGUCAGCGAUCCAAGAUCCCAUAACUACUGUAAGGGACUAAGCUACAACCCCAGGAAUCGACUCCAGAACUGGUCGUUCACGUGUCUUGGCUGUUCUAAAUAAUGCUGCGGUGGCCACGGGAGAGCACGCAUCUCUUCGGGAUCCUGAUGUUUCCUUUGAACAUAUACUCAGGAGUGGGAUCGCUGGGUCAUAGGGUGCUCCCGGGAAGAUGACCUCUGUCGGGUGAACUACGGGAUGGUUUUGGGCUGCGGCACCCACCCCGGAGUGACUAGCUGGGCUAGAGUUUGUAGGAGCUAAAACUGAGCAAGCAGGCUGGAAUCACUCGCUCAUUUCGUGCCCAAGUCAUUAGGUGCAAAGAAUUGCUAUUUAGGGCGCCUGGGUGGCUCAGUUGGUUAAGUGACUGCCUUCAGCUCAGGUCAUGAUCCCAGGGUCCUGGGAUCGAGUCCCGCAUCGGGCUCCCUGCUCUGCGGGGAGCCUGCUUCUCCCUCUCCCACUCCCCCUGCUUGUGUUCCCUCUCUCGCUGUGUCUCUCUCUGUCAAAUAA